GCAUAAGUGAGGUGCGGCGUGGAGCCGGUCACAGGAAAUAACCAUGGUGCUCAGUGGUCUUGAUAAGAUGAUUCAACUUCAGAAGAACACUGCCAACAUUAGGAAUAUCUGUGUUUUGGCUCAUGUUGACCACGGAAAAACUACCCUUGCUGAUUGUCUUAUAUCCAGUAAUGGAAUCAUCUCCAGCCGUCUGGCAGGCAAGGUAUGUUGUUGGAUAUGAUAAAUACUUCUUCCAUUUUGAUGAGUAUUAAUUAGUUCUCUAUAAUGUCAUGAUCCACUUGCUUUGUCCUUCAGUGAUGUAACAUGUAGAAAGAACUGACAACCCAUUAAGCUACUAUAAAAUAGAUGUUGAGAAAAGCUUACUUCCGUAUUGUGUGUUGUUGCAUG
RNAcentral lists this long non-coding RNA (387 nucleotides) under Rattus norvegicus (Norway rat). RNAcentral describes it as "long non-coding RNA NONRATT000873". The record is from RNAcentral. Lineage: Eukaryota; Metazoa; Chordata; Mammalia; Rodentia; Muridae.